This is a long non-coding RNA of Bos taurus (domestic cattle), 1136 nucleotides long. The record is from Ensembl. NCBI's taxonomy places the organism in Eukaryota, Metazoa, Chordata, Mammalia, Artiodactyla, Bovidae.
AAUUAACAACACCGUCAGAUGACGCUACAGAAAGCAAAGUAACGGCCUAAGAAAGUCCAAUUGGCUUCUCUUGUGGUUAAAACAACGAGGUGAAUGUAGUGUUUAGGCACUGAAAGACCUUCCUUUUCCCUUAUCCUUGGCCCUGGGAAUUGUGUUCCGGACAGAAAGCUCCAAUGGCCGGCUGCUUUUCUAGUUGAGACAAUUCACAAUGUUCCUCGGUGGAUUCCCCUCCAGGUCCAGAGAAUGAGCCUCACAGAUGCUGCCAGAAAAGCUUGGGAAAGGUCGUGCAGCUUGUUUUCUUGCACUCUGGCAAGCUGCUGAGACAGAAAACCUACUCCUUCGGAGGAGCGUGGCCUUUUCUUAUAUUGCUUUCCCCCGCUGCUUCUGAGCUUCUUGAACUCAGCUCAUCCAUCAAGAAGCAGCUCAUCCAUCAAGAAGGCCUUAUGGAUGAGCUACCUAUCCCCACUGAGAGAGGAGGAACAUCAACUGCAGUUUCUAACUAGAUUGCCUUCUUCAUUUCAAGUGAUGGCUGCCAUCAGGGUCAGAUUAAGGACAGACCAGCCGGAUGGCUGCUUGGAAGACUAACCUACAAGGAUACUAAAAUGUUCACCGUGUGCUUACAUCACCAGGAAAAUAUACCAGCACUUCUUUUAGGGAGCACUCUGGGGCUGGAAGAAAUGACUUGUUAAGUUCCUCAGGAGUAAUCAGAAUAGAGGAACAGAGGGAUGGCUUACUGCAGGGUUCCUGUUUUUCCUACUGAGAUAUGUAAAUUAGGUACCCCAGCUGGAUUGUUUGCACAUGGAGGGCAGUGGUCCUGCUCAAUUCGUCCUUACACAGAACUCAGUCUGCCCUCUAAUAAAGAUCCUACAAGUAGUGGUUUGAAGGAGACACCAAUUUAUUAGCCUACUCAUCUCUGUUCUGAACUUUAGGGCUUGGAAAUGAAGACACAGUCAUUGAUAGUUUCUCUUCCAGUUCUAGAAUAUUAGCCCUUAGUGUGUCUUCAUUCACUCAGAGUAAGGGUUGUUAAUUAACAGAGCAGAUCAGGACUAACAGAGCUUGAAUUCUUGUGGGUUGGGUGAUCAGAUCCUGUGUUGAAUUAAUUAGAUGGAGACCAAGUGGAGUUGAGAUUUUCAAAA